GCACGUCUAGCUCAGUUAGUAGUGCGCAAGGCUACCACACCUUGUGGUCGUGGGUUCGAGCCCCAUGGUGGGCA
Transfer RNA from Ipomoea nil (Japanese morning glory), 74 nucleotides. It matches the Rfam family "tRNA". From Rfam's summary of the family: Transfer RNA (tRNA) molecules are approximately 80 nucleotides in length. Their secondary structure includes four short double-helical elements and three loops (D, anti-codon, and T loops). NCBI's taxonomy places the organism in Eukaryota, Viridiplantae, Streptophyta, Magnoliopsida, Solanales, Convolvulaceae. The record is from Rfam.